Molecule: ribosomal RNA, 253 nt
Filed under: uncultured bacterium
Lineage: Bacteria
Description: partial 16S ribosomal RNA
Rfam family: Bacterial small subunit ribosomal RNA
Source: RNAcentral
UACGAAGGGGGCUAGCGUUGCUCGGAAUUACUGGGCGUAAAGGGCGCGUAGGCGGCACUGUUAGUCAGGCGUGAAAGUCCUGGGCUCAACCUGGGAACUGCGCUUGAUACGGCAGAGCUAGAGGAUGGAAGAGGGUCGCGGAAUUCCGAGUGUAGAGGUGAAAUUCGUAGAUAUUGGGAGGAACACCGGUGGCGAAGGCGGCGCACUGGUCCAUUACUGACGCUGAGGCGCGAAAGCGUGGGGAGCGAACAGG